GGACCAUUAGCUCAAUCGGUAGAGCAUCUGAUUCUUAAUCAGAGGGUUGCAGGUUCGAGUCCUGCAUGGUCCACCA
This 76-nucleotide transfer RNA is filed under the name Planctomycetota bacterium. Its description in RNAcentral is "Planctomycetes bacterium tRNA-Lys". It matches the Rfam family "tRNA". Rfam says of the family: Transfer RNA (tRNA) molecules are approximately 80 nucleotides in length. Their secondary structure includes four short double-helical elements and three loops (D, anti-codon, and T loops). Lineage: Bacteria; Pseudomonadati; Planctomycetota. The record is from RNAcentral. RNAcentral also lists the same sequence under 1 other name.